CCUUUGACGUUAGCGGCGGACGGGUGAGUAACACGUGGGUAACCUACCUAUAAGACUGGGAUAACUUCGGGAAACCGGAGCUAAUACCGGAUAAUAUUUCGAACCGCAUGGUUCGAUAGUGAAAGGUGGUUUUGCUAUCACUUAUAGAUGGACCCGCGCCGUAUUAGCUAGUUGGUAAGGUAACGGCUUACCAAGGCGACGAUACGUAGCCGACCUGAGAGGGUGAUCGGCCGCACUGGAACUGAGACACGGUCCAGACUCCUACGGGAGGCAGCAGCC
This 279-nucleotide ribosomal RNA is filed under the name uncultured Staphylococcus sp. Its description in RNAcentral is "partial 16S ribosomal RNA". It matches the Rfam family "Bacterial small subunit ribosomal RNA", at positions 83 to 355 of the family's 1533-position model. The record is from RNAcentral. Lineage: Bacteria; Bacillati; Bacillota; Bacilli; Caryophanales; Staphylococcaceae.